UGCAUAGGAAUCUACCUAGUAGUAUAGGAUAGCCACUAGAAAUGGUGGGUAAUACUGUAUAAUCCCUGCGGGGGAAAGAUUUAUCGCUACUAGAUGAGCCUAUGUCAGAUUAGCUAGUUGGUGGGGUAAUGGCCCACCAAGGCUGUGAUCUGUAGCUGGUCUGAGAGGAUGAUCAGCCACACUGGAACUGAGACACGGUCCAGACUCCUACGGGAGGCAGCAGUGGGGAAUAUUGGACAAUGGGCGCAAGCCUGAUCCAGCUAUGCCGCGUGAGUGAGGAAGGCCUUAGGGUUGUAAAACUCUUUCAGUAGGGAAGAUAAUGACGGUACCUACAGAAGAAGUCCCGGCAAACUCCGUGCCAGCAGCCGCGGUAAUACGGAGGGGGCAAGCGUUGUUCGGAAUUAUUGGGCGUAAAGGGCAUGUAGGCGGUUUGGUAAGUUAAAGGUGAAAUACCAGGGCUUAACCCUGGGGCUGCUUUUAAUACUGCAGGU
This 491-nucleotide ribosomal RNA is filed under the name Anaplasma ovis. RNAcentral describes it as "bacterial SSU rRNA". It matches the Rfam family "Bacterial small subunit ribosomal RNA", at positions 114 to 640 of the family's 1533-position model. Lineage: Bacteria; Pseudomonadati; Pseudomonadota; Alphaproteobacteria; Rickettsiales; Anaplasmataceae. The record is from RNAcentral.